Molecule: ribosomal RNA, 497 nt
Filed under: uncultured bacterium
Lineage: Bacteria
Description: partial 16S ribosomal RNA
Rfam family: Bacterial small subunit ribosomal RNA
Source: RNAcentral
GAUGAACGCUGGCGGCGUGCCUAAUACAUGCAAGUCGAGCGAACAGACGAGGAGCUUGCUCCUCUGACGUUAGCGGCGGACGGGUGAGUAACACGUGGAUAACCUACCUAUAAGACUGGGAUAACUUCGGGAAACCGGAGCUAAUACCGGAUAAUAUAUUGAACCGCAUGGUUCAAUAGUGAAAGACGGUUUUGCUGUCACUUAUAGAUGGAUCCGCGCCGCAUUAGCUAGUUGGUAAGGUAACGGCUUACCAAGGCAACGAUGCGUAGCCGACCUGAGAGGGUGAUCCGCCACACUGGAACCGAGACCCGGUCCAGACUCCUUCGGGAGGCAGCAGUAGGGAAUCUUCCGCAAUGGGCGAAAGCCUGACGGAGCAACGCCGCGUGAGUGAUGAAGGUCUUCGGAUCGUAAAACUCUGUUAUUAGGGAAGAACAAAUGUGUAAGUAACUAUGCACGUCUUGACGGUACCUAAUCAGAAAGCCACGGCUAACUUCGUG